CCUACGGGAGGCAGCAGUAAGGAAUAUUGGUCAAUGGACGCAAGUCUGAACCAGCCAUGCCGCGUGGAGGAUGAAGGUCCUCUGGAUUGUAAACUUCUUUUAUUUGGGAAGAAACUCCCGAUUUCCAUCGGGAUUGACGGUACCAGAUGAAUAAGCACCGGCUAACUCCGUGCCAGCAGCCGCGGUAAUACGGAGGGUGCAAGCGUUAUCCGUUUUCACUGGGUUUAGGGGGGCAGGUGAUGGGCAGGUAACAUCUACGGGCUUAACCCGGAAACUGCCAUUGAUACUAGUUGUCUUGAAUACUCUGGAGGUGAGCGGAAUAUGUCAUGUAGCGGUGAAAUGCUUAGAUAUGACAUAGAACACCCAUUGCGAAGGCAGCUCACUACGGAAAUAUUGACGCUGAGGCACGAAAGCGUGGGGAUCAAACAGGAUUAGAUACCCCGGUAGUC
This 449-nucleotide ribosomal RNA is filed under the name uncultured bacterium. Its description in RNAcentral is "partial 16S ribosomal RNA". It matches the Rfam family "Bacterial small subunit ribosomal RNA", at positions 338 to 795 of the family's 1533-position model. The record is from RNAcentral.